This 352-nucleotide long non-coding RNA is filed under the name Mytilus galloprovincialis (Mediterranean mussel). Lineage: Eukaryota; Metazoa; Mollusca; Bivalvia; Mytilida; Mytilidae. The record is from RNAcentral.
UUUCUUGGCGGCCAUAAGAAACACUCAUUUGAAUACCCCUACUUUUGAACAGAUCUUGAAUUUGUGGCAGGAAUAUUGCAACUUUUUUCUGAAGAUCACCUCUUUGAUAGAAGAUUGUGGCACGCAUAUAAUUAUUUGCACAUGAUGCUGAUGUUUGGACUUUGCAGUUUUUACAUUGCAUUAAAUACUUUGUAUUCUCCAAGACAGUUAUUAGAUUGCUAUUAUUGCAACCUUUGUUUGGACAACUUAAAUAACGGUCACAUCAAGACACUUGUGAUCACUCCAUUUCAACAUUACUAUCCACUGCUUCAUCUUCCUUGCUUUCCUCUUCUUCUUGACAAAUACCGAAAGG